This 782-nucleotide non-coding RNA is filed under the name Leptocorisa costalis. The record is from RNAcentral. Lineage: Eukaryota; Metazoa; Arthropoda; Insecta; Hemiptera; Alydidae.
AAUGAUGAGUUUGAUUCUGGCUCUUUUUGGUUAGCUUUAUAUAUAAUAUUAAAUAUAAAUUUUUGUGUGAUUUUGAUUUUCUAAAUGAUUAUUUUUAUUUUUAAUUUUUAGUUUUUAAUUUUGAGGGGUUUAUAUUGUUAUAAAUUCAGUUAUUAUUUUUUUGAAUAGUAAAAUUUUGUGCCAGCAUACGCGGUUAUACAAUUUAUUCUGGUUAAUUUUUGUUGGUUAGUAUUUUAUUUGUUAUUUGAGAAUUACUUUUUUCUUAUAAGGUGAAAUUUUUAAGUUUUUGUAAUUUUUAGGUUUUUUAUUAUAUGAAAUUCAGUUAUUAGACUAGGAUUAGAUACCCUAUUAUUUUGAAUGUAAAUUUGGCCUUAUUAUUAUUAGUUAUGGUCUUUAAAAUAAAAGAAUUUGGCGGUAAUUUAGUCUUUUCAGAGGAACCUGUUUUUUAAUCGAUGAUCCACGUUGGAUUUUACUUUAAUUUUUGUUUGUAUAUCUCUGUCAUUGAAUGUUUUUUUAGGAUAUUUUCGUGGUUUUAUUAAUUUAUUUUAUGUCAGGUCAAGGUGCAGUUAUAUUAAAGGUUUUAUGGGUUACAUUUAAUGUUAUUUAUUGGAUCUGUAAUUCUUGUAAUUUUAGUGCAGAUAAAAAGGAUUUGAAGGUAAUUUUUAUUAUUUUUUAAUUAUGAUUUUAGCUCUAUGUUAUGUACACAUCGCCCGUCACUUUCAUUAUUAAGGUGAAAUAAGUCGUAACAAAGUAAUUUUACUGGAAAGUGAGGUUGGUAUUAU